Molecule: long non-coding RNA, 990 nt
Filed under: Nicotiana tabacum (common tobacco)
Lineage: Eukaryota; Viridiplantae; Streptophyta; Magnoliopsida; Solanales; Solanaceae
Description: long non-coding RNA (NTAB_LNC006694)
Source: RNAcentral
ACGACGACUUUUUCCACGCCUGAAACGUAUUCCUGCUCUCUUGAGCUCCAUGGCUGAACGAUAUGAGCACCACUCACCCCUUAGAUAGCAUCCUCCUUCUGAGAAAACAUUUGGGUCUAUGAGUUGCGUUCUUAAUAUCUCAAGCAGAUGAGCAGGAUUUUCUUCUUUGAUCAGGUAAGGCCCUUCUCCUUCACAAAUCUUGCCAAAGAAAUCAAGAAAGACAUCCUUGAUACUUUGAAUUAAUCCAUGAUUUUGAGGGGGCUUUGCAUGUGCACUGGAGAUGAACGUUUUAAUCAUUCUCAUUCCUUCAUCUUUCUUGAACCUACAGCUCAUUAACACAUGCAGGACUUCAAAAGGUAGCUGAUUUUCAAGUAAGAAAGAUCACGACGAAUGAAAGCUAUAUCAUGACUCUUCAUUUGCAGCUUCUUAUAAUUGCCAGUGACAAGGCAGAGAAUAUAUUGGAGAAUGAAACAGCCAUCCAGGAACAUCAUCUGUGCAAACUCCUCAUUGCUGUAAUCUUUAAUCAAGUCCAGAGCAUAACACUCCCUGACAUUAGGCACAAUGUUCUUCACCUUUUUGUAAAGCUCAUCAAUGGACACUGAUUUUGUUAAAAGCCGUGAUAAGACCCCAGCAGAUUUUGGUUCGGUGCUUUCUUGAUCAGCAAACUGAAUUGCCAUCAUCUCCUUGUACUUCUCCAUAGGUUGAAGCUUGGAUUUUCCAUGGUGAAAUGGACCGAGAGCAACCACAAGGGGCUCAUAGCAUCUUACAUUUGAUUCAAUCUCGCGAUGCAUUUUGGGGACCAUGUGUAUCUUUGGCUUCUGUGAUGAGCCAAUGGUGGGGUACUCUCUGCUCUUCUCCAAUGAUUUUAGCCAUUGUCUCUCAUUUUCACUGAUUUCAUGAGAAUCUGAGUUUGACUCUUGAAUUGUAAUGUUGCAUUCAUCUUGAUUACCAGAAAUCUUUUCAUUGCCAAUGCACCUACCUUCUUCUCUA